Molecule: non-coding RNA, 30 nt
Filed under: Rattus norvegicus (Norway rat)
Lineage: Eukaryota; Metazoa; Chordata; Mammalia; Rodentia; Muridae
Source: RNAcentral
UCUGAGUUCAAGGUCACCUAGGACAAAGCA